GGAUUACUCCUUUACGCUUUCGCGUUUGGUUGAUAAAGAUUCGCACCUCUAUCAAACCGGGUAAUCCCACCUCUUGGCAAGACCUGCUGUCAGAUCAAAUCUGAACUACUACACAUUAUGAAUAGCAGCAAAGACAGAUGCCUAUAUCGCAGAAAGGCCGAUGAGAAAUCCAAGUACCUGUCCUCGGGCGAUUUGUUG
Molecule: small RNA, 198 nt
Filed under: Nitrosomonas europaea ATCC 19718
Lineage: Bacteria; Pseudomonadati; Pseudomonadota; Betaproteobacteria; Nitrosomonadales; Nitrosomonadaceae
Description: Proteobacterial sRNA psRNA2
Rfam family: Proteobacterial sRNA psRNA2
Source: Rfam by way of RNAcentral